GUCGAGAAUCUUCCGCAAUGCGCGAAAGCGUGACGGAGCGACACCGCGUGAUGGAUGAAGUCCUUCGGGGCGUAAACAUCUUUUAUAAAGGAGGAAAUUUUUGACGUUACUUUAUGAAUAAGGGGCUCCCAAUCUCGUGCCAGCAGGAGCGGUAAUACGAGAGCCUCAAGCGUUAUCCGGAAUCAUUGGGCGUAAAGGGUGCGUAGGUGGUUUGAUUAGUCUCCCGUUAAAACUUCGAGCUUAACUCGAAAAGAGCGGUGGAAACGGUCAAACUAGAGUAUGUGAGAGGUGUGUGGAACUCAUGGUGUAGGGGUGAAAUCCGUUGAUAUCAUGGGGAACACCAAAAGCGAAGGCAGCACACUGGCACAUCACUGACACUGAGGCACGAAACCUAAGGUAGCGAAUGGGAUUAGAAACCCCAGUAGUCC
This 428-nucleotide ribosomal RNA is filed under the name uncultured bacterium. Its description in RNAcentral is "bacterial SSU rRNA". It matches the Rfam family "Bacterial small subunit ribosomal RNA", at positions 354 to 796 of the family's 1533-position model. The record is from RNAcentral.